UUACUCUGGUUUCUCUUCAUGACGCACAAGUCUUUUGCCUUUUACUAAAGACUUCUUUGGAGGGGAACGCCGAUGAGUUCAAACUAGUUUUAGUGAGCUUUGCUUUUUGACCGAGCC
This is a small nuclear RNA of Etheostoma cragini (Arkansas darter), 117 nucleotides long. RefSeq annotates it as U5 spliceosomal RNA. The transcript has a single exon. The record is from RefSeq and is a predicted model, not a curated record. Lineage: Eukaryota; Metazoa; Chordata; Actinopteri; Perciformes; Percidae.